RNAcentral lists this ribosomal RNA (1007 nucleotides) under Mycobacterium sp. AMF3833. Its description in RNAcentral is "bacterial SSU rRNA". It matches the Rfam family "Bacterial small subunit ribosomal RNA", at positions 53 to 1089 of the family's 1533-position model. Lineage: Bacteria; Bacillati; Actinomycetota; Actinomycetes; Mycobacteriales; Mycobacteriaceae. The record is from RNAcentral.
ACCAUGCAGUCGACGGAAGGCCCUUCGGGGUACUCGAGUGGCGAACGGGUGAGUAAACGGGGGUGAUCUGCCCUGCACUUUGGGAUAAGCCUGGGAAACUGGGUCUAAUACCGAAUAUGACCGCGCUCUUCAUGGGGUGUGGUGGAAAGCUUUUGCGGUGUGGGAUGGGCCCGCGGCCUAUCAGCUUGUUGGUGGGGUAAUGGCCUACCAAGGCGACGACGGGUAGCCGGCCUGAGAGGGUGACCGGCCACACUGGGACUGAGAUACGGCCCAGACUCCUACGGGAGGCAGCAGUGGGGAAUAUUGCACAAUGGGCGCAAGCCUGAUGCAGCGACGCCGCGUGAGGGAUGACGGCCUUCGGGUUGUAAACCUCUUUCAAUAGGGACGAAGCGCAAGUGACGGUACCUAUAGAAGAAGGACCGGCCAACUACGUGCCAGCAGCCGCGGUAAUACGUAGGGUCCGAGCGUUGUCCGGAAUUACUGGGCGUAAAGAGCUCGUAGGUGGUUUGUCGCGUUGUUCGUGAAAACUCACAGCUUAACUGUGGGCGUGCGGGCGAUACGGGCAGACUAGAGUACUGCAGGGGAGACUGGAAUUCCUGGUGUAGCGGUGGAAUGCGCAGAUAUCAGGAGGAACACCGGUGGCGAAGGCGGGUCUCUGGGCAGUAACUGACGCUGAGGAGCGAAAGCGUGGGGAGCGAACAGGAUUAGAUACCCUGGUAGUCCACGCCGUAAACGGUGGGUACUAGGUGUGGGUUUCCUUCCUUGGGAUCCGUGCCGUAGCUAACGCAUUAAGUACCCCGCCUGGGGAGUACGGCCGCAAGGCUAAAACUCAAAGGAAUUGACGGGGGCCCGCACAAGCGGCGGAGCAUGUGAUUAAUUCGAUGCAACGCGAAGAACCUUACCUGGGUUGACAUGCACAGGACGCCAGUAGAGAUAUGUUCCCUUGUGGCCUGUGUGCAGUGGUGCAUGCUGUCGUCAGCUCGUGUCGUGAGAUGUGGGUAAGUCCC